This 73-nucleotide transfer RNA is filed under the name Penaeus japonicus. Its description in RNAcentral is "tRNA-Val". It matches the Rfam family "tRNA". Rfam says of the family: Transfer RNA (tRNA) molecules are approximately 80 nucleotides in length. Their secondary structure includes four short double-helical elements and three loops (D, anti-codon, and T loops). The record is from RNAcentral. Lineage: Eukaryota; Metazoa; Arthropoda; Malacostraca; Decapoda; Penaeidae.
GUGUUUGUAGCGCAGUGGUUAGCGCGACUGUCUAACAUAGCGGUUGGCUCGGGUUCGAUUCCCGACGGACACC